ACGGAAGGCAGCAGUGGGGAAUAUUGCACAAUGGGCGAAAGCCUGAUGCAGCGACGCCGCGUGAGUGAAGAAGUAUCUCGGUAUGUAAAGCUCUAUCAGCAGGGAAGAAAAUGACGGUACUUGACUAAGAAGCCCCGGCUAACUACGUGCCAGCAGCCGCGGUAAUACGUAGGGGGCAAGCGUUAUCCGGAUUUACUGGGUGUAAAGGGAGCGUAGACGGUUUGGCAAGUCUGAAGUGAAAUGCGGGGGCUCAACUCCUGAACUGCUUUGGAAACUGUCGAACUAGAGUGCAGGAGAGGUAAGUGGAAUUCCUAGUGUAGCGGUGAAAUGCGUAGAUAUUAGGAGGAACACCAGUGGCGAAGGCGGCUUACUGGACUGUAACUGACGUUGAGGCUCGAAAGCGUGGGGAGCAAACAGGAUUAGAUACCCUGGUA
Molecule: ribosomal RNA, 434 nt
Filed under: uncultured Lachnospiraceae bacterium
Lineage: Bacteria; Bacillati; Bacillota; Clostridia; Lachnospirales; Lachnospiraceae
Description: partial 16S ribosomal RNA
Rfam family: Bacterial small subunit ribosomal RNA
Source: RNAcentral